RNAcentral lists this ribosomal RNA (253 nucleotides) under uncultured bacterium. Its description in RNAcentral is "partial 16S ribosomal RNA". It matches the Rfam family "Bacterial small subunit ribosomal RNA", at positions 524 to 776 of the family's 1533-position model. The record is from RNAcentral.
UACGGAGGGAGCUAGCGUUGUUCGGAAUUACUGGGCGUAAAGCGUACGUAGGCGGUUAUUCCAGUCAGAGGUGAAAGCCUGGAGCUCAACUCCAGAACUGCCUUUGAAACUAGAUAGCUAGAAUCUUGGAGAGGUGAGUGGAAUUCCGAGUGUAGAGGUGAAAUUCGUAGAUAUUCGGGAGAACACCAGUGGCGAAGGCGACUCACUGGACAAGUAUUGACGCUGAGGUACGAAAGCGUGGGGAGCAAACAGA